CAGUCGCCGCGGGAAUACGAGGGGGGCAAGCGUUGUUCGGAAUUGUUGGGCGUAAAGGGUGCGUAGGCGGCCAGGUAAGUCAGGUGUGAAAUCUCAGAGCUUAACUCUGAAACUGCGCUUGAUACUGCUUGGCUAGAGGAUCGGAGGGGGUAACGGAAUUUAUGGUGUAGCAGUGAAAUGCGUAGAUAUCAUAAGGAACACCGGUGGCGAAGGCGGUUACCUGGAAGAUUCCUGACUCUGAAACACGAAAGCCAGGGGAGCAAACGGGAUUAGAUACCCCUGUAGUCCCUGUCUCUUAUAA
This 301-nucleotide ribosomal RNA is filed under the name uncultured bacterium. RNAcentral describes it as "partial 16S ribosomal RNA". It matches the Rfam family "Bacterial small subunit ribosomal RNA", at positions 509 to 809 of the family's 1533-position model. The record is from RNAcentral.